AACGUAGGAGACAAACGUUAUCCGGAGUUACUGGGCGUAAAGCGUGCGUAGGUGGUUUGUUAAGUCUGUUGUGAAAGCCCCGGGCUCAACCUGGGAAUGGCAAUGGAUACUGGCAGGCUAGAGUGCGGUAGAGGGUAGUGGAAUUCCCGGUGUGAGCGGUGAAAUGCGUAGAGAUCGGGAGGAACACCAGUGGCGAAGGCGGCAUCCUGGCCCUUACCUGACGCUGAGGCGCGAGAGCGUGGGGAGCAAACCGG
RNAcentral lists this ribosomal RNA (254 nucleotides) under uncultured bacterium. Its description in RNAcentral is "partial 16S ribosomal RNA". It matches the Rfam family "Bacterial small subunit ribosomal RNA", at positions 524 to 776 of the family's 1533-position model. The record is from RNAcentral.